CCUACGGGAGGCAGCAGUGGGGAAUAUUGGACAAUGGGCGAAAGCCUGAUCCAGCCAUGCCGCGUGUGUGAAGAAGGCCUUUUGGUUGUAAAGCACUUUAAGCGAGGAGGAGGCUACUUAGAUUAAUACUCUAGGAUAGUGGACGUUACUCGCAGAAUAAGCACCGGCUAACUCUGUGCCAGCAGCCGCGGUAAUA
Molecule: ribosomal RNA, 196 nt
Filed under: uncultured Acinetobacter sp.
Lineage: Bacteria; Pseudomonadati; Pseudomonadota; Gammaproteobacteria; Moraxellales; Moraxellaceae
Description: partial 16S ribosomal RNA
Rfam family: Bacterial small subunit ribosomal RNA
Source: RNAcentral